RNAcentral lists this ribosomal RNA (452 nucleotides) under uncultured bacterium. RNAcentral describes it as "bacterial SSU rRNA". It matches the Rfam family "Bacterial small subunit ribosomal RNA", at positions 340 to 784 of the family's 1533-position model. The record is from RNAcentral.
UACGGAAGGCAGCAGUGGGGAAUAUUGCACAAUGGGCGCAAGCCUGAUGCAGCCAUGCCGCGUGUAUGAAAAAGGCCUUCGGGUUGUAAAGUACUUUCAGUCGUGAGGAAGGUGUUAAGGUUAAUAACCUUAGCAAUUGACGUUAGCGACAGAAGAAGCACCGGCUAACUCCGUGCCAGCAGCCGCGGUAAUACGGAGGGUGCGAGCGUUAAUCGGAAUUACUGGGCGUAAAGGGCACGCAGGCGGUUAAUUAAGUUGGAUGUGAAAUCCCCGGGCUUAACCUGGGAAUGGCAUUCAAGACUGGUUAGCUAGAGUCUUGUAGAGGGGGUUAGAAUUCCAUGUGUAGCGGUGAAAUGCGUAGAGAUGUGGAGGAAUACCGGUGGCGAAGGCGGCCCCUGGACAAAGACUGACGCUCAUGUGCGAAAGCGUGGGGAGCAAACAGGGAUUAGAAU